Non-coding RNA from Capsicum annuum, 161 nucleotides. The record is from Rfam. NCBI's taxonomy places the organism in Eukaryota, Viridiplantae, Streptophyta, Magnoliopsida, Solanales, Solanaceae.
AUACUUACCUUGACGGGGUCAAUGGGAAAUCAUGAAGGCCCAUGGCCUAGGUUGGCGACCUCCAUUGCAAUUUGGAGGGGUGCUUUCCUAAGGUCGAUCCAAGUGGUCGAGCCUACGUCAUAAUUUGUGGCAGCGAGGGCUUGCGUUUGCACGGCCCCUAC